RNAcentral lists this ribosomal RNA (624 nucleotides) under Cryptococcus sp. PDD-28b-7. RNAcentral describes it as "partial 26S ribosomal RNA". The record is from RNAcentral. Lineage: Eukaryota; Fungi; Basidiomycota; Tremellomycetes; Tremellales; Cryptococcaceae.
UUUUCAGACGGGUCGUUUAAAGCCAUUAUGUCAACAUCCUAAGCUCGGACGUGGGCGAACCCCGGCCAUAAAGGCGAGCUGCGUUCCUCAGUCCGGACCAGUGUAUGCAACAAGAGGCUAUAACACACCCGAGGGUGCCACCUUCCUCUCAUCUUUAUCCACCGAUCCAAACUGAUGUUGACCCGUUCAAAGGAAAUACACUGGCAGAACCAGCUGAAUCCAAUGAACACGACUGACUUCAAUCGUUUCCCUUUUAACAAUUUCACAUACUGUUUAACUCUCUUUCCAAAGUGCUUUUCAUCUUUCCCUCACGGUACUUGUUCGCUAUCGGUCUCUCGCCAAUAUUUAGCUUUAGAUGGAAUUUACCACCCAUUUUGAGCUGCAUUCCCAAACAACUCGACUCGUUGAAAACGUAUCACAGAGCACCGGGGGUCGUGUCAAGUACGGGAUUGUCACCCUCUUUGAUACCCUGUUCCAAGGGACUUGGACACGGUCCGGCACGGAAAACGCUUCUAUAGAUUACAACUCGGACGCGCGGAGCACGCCAGAUUACAAAUUUGAGCUCUUCCCGGUUCACUCGCCGUUACUAGGGGAAUCCUUGUUAGUUUCUUUUCCUCCGUAAUG